CUACGGGCCGCUGCAGUGAGGAAUAUUGCACAAUGGGGGGAACCCUGAUGCAGCAACGCCGCGUGGAGGAUGACGCAUUUCGGUGCGUAAACUCCUUUUAUAUGUCAAGAAAAUGACGGUAGCAUAUGAAUAAGCACCGGCUAACUCCGUGCCAGCAGCCGCGGUAAUACGGAGGGUGCAAGCGUUACUCGGAAUCACUGGGCGUAAAGGACGCGUAGGCGGGGUGGAAAGUCAGGUGUGAAAUCCUACAGCUUAACUGUAGAACUGCACUUGAAACUUCUAAUCUAGAGUAUGGGAGGGGGAGAUGGAAUUAGUGGUGUAGGGGUAACAUCCGUAGAUAUCACUAGGAAUACCUAAAGCGAAGGCGAUCUCCUGGAACAUUACUGACGCUAAGGCGUGAAAGCGUGGGGAGCAAACAGGAUUAGAUACCCGCGUAGUC
This 439-nucleotide ribosomal RNA is filed under the name uncultured bacterium. RNAcentral's name for it is "partial 16S ribosomal RNA". It matches the Rfam family "Bacterial small subunit ribosomal RNA", at positions 339 to 795 of the family's 1533-position model. The record is from RNAcentral.